RNAcentral lists this ribosomal RNA (443 nucleotides) under Prevotella melaninogenica. RNAcentral describes it as "bacterial SSU rRNA". It matches the Rfam family "Bacterial small subunit ribosomal RNA", at positions 28 to 459 of the family's 1533-position model. The record is from RNAcentral. Lineage: Bacteria; Pseudomonadati; Bacteroidota; Bacteroidia; Bacteroidales; Prevotellaceae.
GAUGAACGCUAGCUACAGGCUUAACACAUGCAAGUCGAGGGGAAACGGCAUUGAGUGCUUGCACUCUUUGGACGUCGACCGGCGCACGGGUGAGUAACGCGUAUCCAACCUUCCCAUUACUGUGGGAUAACCUGCCGAAAGGCAGACUAAUACCGCAUAGUCUUCGAGGACGGCAUCAGAUUUGAAGUAAAGAUUUAUCGGUAAUGGAUGGGGAUGCGUCCGAUUAGCUUGUUGGCGGGGUAACGGCCCACCAAGGGUACGAUCAGUAGGGGUUGUGAGAGGAAGGUCCCCCACAUUGGAAAUGAGACACGGUCCAAACUCCUACGGGAGGCAGCAGUGAGGAAUAUUGGUCAAUGGACGGAAGUCUGAACCAGCCAAGUAGCGUGCAGGAUGACGGCCCUAUGGGUUGUAAACUGCUUUUGUAUGGGGAUAAAGUUAGGGAC